CGAUGAUCCCCAGCUUGCUGGGGGGAUUAGUGGCGAACGGGUGAGUAACACGUGAGUAACCUGCCCUUGACUCUGGGAUAAGCCUGGGAAACUGGGUCUAAUACUGGAUACGACCUUCUGGCGCAUGCCAUGUGGGUGGAAAGCUUUUGUGGUUUUGGAUGGACUCGCGGCCUAUCAGCUUGUUGGUGGGGUAAUGGCCUACCAAGGCGACGACGGGUAGCCGGCCUGAGAGGGUGGACGGCCACACUGGGACUGAGACACGGCCCAGACUCCUACGGGAGGCAGCAGUGGGGAAUAUUGCACAAUGGGCGCAAGCCUGAUGCAGCGACGCCGCGUGAGGGAUGAAGGCCUUCGGGUUGUAAACCUCUUUCAGUAGGGAAGAAGCGAAAGUGACGGUACCUGCAGAAGAAGCGCCGGCUAACUACGUGCCAGCAGCCGCGGUAAUACGUAGGGCGCAAGCGUUAUCCGGAAUUAUUGGGCGUAAAGAGCUCGUAGGCGGUUUGUCGCGUCUGCCGUGAAAGUCCGGGGCUUAACUCCGGAUCUGCGGUGGGUACGGGCAGACUUGAGUGAUGUAGGGGAGACUGGAAUUCCUGGUGUAGCGGUGAAAUGCGCAGAUAUCAGGAGGAACACCGAUGGCGAAGGCAGGUCUCUGGGCAUUAACUGACGCUGAGGAGCGAAAGCAUGGGGAGCGAACAGGAUUAGAUACCCUGGUAGUCCAUGCCGUAAACGUUGGGCACUAGGUGUGGGGGACAUUCCACGUUUUCCGCGCCGUAGCUAACGCAUUAAGUGCCCCGCCUGGGGAGUAC
This 806-nucleotide ribosomal RNA is filed under the name Arthrobacter sp. Its description in RNAcentral is "bacterial SSU rRNA". It matches the Rfam family "Bacterial small subunit ribosomal RNA", at positions 67 to 883 of the family's 1533-position model. The record is from RNAcentral. Lineage: Bacteria; Bacillati; Actinomycetota; Actinomycetes; Micrococcales; Micrococcaceae.